This 93-nucleotide ribosomal RNA is filed under the name Salmonella enterica subsp. enterica serovar Enteritidis. The record is from RNAcentral. Lineage: Bacteria; Pseudomonadati; Pseudomonadota; Gammaproteobacteria; Enterobacterales; Enterobacteriaceae.
CACACCUGACCCCAUGCCGAACUCAGAAGUGAAACGCCGUAGCGCCGAUGGUAGUGUGGGGUCUCCCCAUGCGAGAGUAGGGAACUGCCAGGC